RNAcentral lists this long non-coding RNA (408 nucleotides) under Salmo salar (Atlantic salmon). RNAcentral describes it as "lncRNA (ENSSSAG00000084734.1)". Lineage: Eukaryota; Metazoa; Chordata; Actinopteri; Salmoniformes; Salmonidae. The record is from RNAcentral.
AGAUCAAUCUUUGUGUUCAUUCUCGCAAUCGCUCUCUUGCUGUGUCCCCAUCGCUGUAUUGAUCUCUUUUGUUUUUUCAACUACAUGUCACAUUUGUCCGGUAAUCCUUCGUUGCAGAAGUAUUCAGCUCCCUAAGUCAAUACGUGUUAGAAACACCUUUUGGCAUCGACUACAGCUUCUUGGGAUUUUGCCUGUGCUGAACUCCAUCUUGUUUCUUUUUGUCCUGGAAAACUCCUCAGUAUUGGCCGAUGUCAACCAUACCAUGAUGCAGCCACCACCAUGCUUAAAAAUAAGGAGGCAGUUACUCAGUGAUGUGUUGGAUUUCUCCCAAACAUAAAGCUUUGCAUUUAUGCCAAAAAGUCUACACCUUUGCUGUGUUUUUUUUGCUAUGUAUUUGUUUUAUUUUCA